This 254-nucleotide ribosomal RNA is filed under the name uncultured bacterium. Its description in RNAcentral is "partial 16S ribosomal RNA". It matches the Rfam family "Bacterial small subunit ribosomal RNA", at positions 524 to 776 of the family's 1533-position model. The record is from RNAcentral.
UACGAAGGGGGCUAGCGUUGUUCGGAAUUACUGGGCGUAAAGCGCACGUAGGCGGGCUCUUAAGUCGGUGGUGAAAUCCUGGAGCUCAACUCCAGAACUGCCUCCGAUACUGAGAGUCUUCGAGUCCGGGAGAGGUGAGUGGAACUGCGAGUGUAGAGGUGAAAUUCGUAGAUAUUCGCAAGAACACCAGUGGCGAAGGCGGCUCACUGGCCCGGUACUGACGCUGAGGUGCGAAAGCGUGGGGAGCAAACAGG